Hyla sarda is the source of this 456-nucleotide long non-coding RNA. RefSeq lists it as uncharacterized. Lineage: Eukaryota; Metazoa; Chordata; Amphibia; Anura; Hylidae. The transcript is spliced from 3 exons. The record is from RefSeq and is a predicted model, not a curated record.
UGUGAUUAGACUCCGACAGAUGCCGGACGAAAUGGAUGAACAGUGGUGGGAGACUGGGUAAGAAACGAUUCCUUAAUGAAUUACACCACCUAUACACAGAGCCAUGUCUACUGGAAUCCCUGAUAUGGACACUUGGUGUGAUGUGUCUGAAGUUCUCCACAAUUUAAUAUUUCCUGUUUCCUCCGUACGUCCCAGCGUGCAGAGAGAAAAAAAGAAAAAAAGAAAAGCUUCCACCGGAAAUGGUUCUCUGGGGCGCCAUUGUUGAGAUGAAUUAUGUAAAAGAAUACGGUGCAAUGAGUAGACGGGAGACAGAGACGCCCGCAGAACCGACAGAUAUUAUCCCCAAUCAUAGGCACCCGGGGGGCUGGAAACUAUUCCAAAUGCUACAAUUCUGCUCCAGAUGAAGCAAACAAAACACAUUGAGACGACGAUAAAUGGCCACCGCCGAUCAAACCA